Molecule: long non-coding RNA, 587 nt
Organism: Canis lupus familiaris (dog)
Lineage: Eukaryota; Metazoa; Chordata; Mammalia; Carnivora; Canidae
Exons: 5
Source: RefSeq, a predicted model, not a curated record
GGAUAAGAAGGAAGAUAUAACAACUGGACUUUGUAUAGAUUGGGGAAAGAUACUUGGAGGUUUUUACUGCUUGACUUGAGGAAAAUGGAGAACAAUAAAUUAGAUCAUUGCCUUCAAAACCAAAGUAUGGGAGAAAAUAUUGUGCUUAGGCAUUAACAUUUUGUUAAAAAAGAGGAACCUAGUGACCAGGAGAUGACCGGGGAAAUUUAACAUGUAUGACUGCAUUAUAACAACAAUUUAAAGGUGUCAAGCUCAUUCAUCUUUGUACUUGGUGGUCUAGCAAGUUGUUGCCACAUUGUAGAGUUUCAAUAAAUGCCUGCGGAAACGUUACUCAGAGAUAUCCUGUCAAAUGGAGAGGACAAAUGUCACUGUGCUAUCAGACAAAAGAGGAAAGGCUGCCUUUAUAGUAAUUCUUCCAAUAUAUGAGAAGUUGUGCCAAACUUCUCAUAAUUCAAGUGGGAUACAUUUCCUAUAAGAAAGAGGGGCAUCUCUCUUCAGAAUAGCCUAUUUUGUUGUUUCCAUGGAGCUCUCACGUUCAAGGCACACAGAGAGAGAGAGAGAGAGGCAGAGACACAGGCAGAGGGAGA